RNAcentral lists this ribosomal RNA (559 nucleotides) under uncultured bacterium. RNAcentral's name for it is "bacterial SSU rRNA". It matches the Rfam family "Bacterial small subunit ribosomal RNA", at positions 120 to 713 of the family's 1533-position model. The record is from RNAcentral.
GGGAACCUGCCUUUAGGUUCGGAAUAACUCASAGAAAUUUGAGCUAAUACCGAAUAAUGUCUUCGGACCAAAGAUUUAUCGCCUUUAGAUGGGUCCGCGUUAGAUUAGAUAGUUGGUGGGGUAAUGGCCUACCAAGUCGACGAUCUAUAGCUGGUCUGAGAGGAUGAUCAGCCACACUGGGACUGAGACACGGCCCAGACUCCUACGGGAGGCAGCAGUGGGGAAUCUUGGACAAUGGGCGCAAGCCUGAUCCAGCCAUGCCGCGUGAGUGAUGAAGGCCUUAGGGUCGUAAAGCUCUUUCGCCUGUGAAGAUAAUGACGGUAGCAGGUAAGGAAACCCCGGCUAACUCCGUGCCAGCAGCCGCGGUAAUACGGAGGGGGUUAGCGUUGUUCGGAAUUACUGGGCGUAAAGCGCACGUAGGCGGACUGGAAAGUUGGGGGUGAAAUCCCAGGGCUCAACCCUGGAACUGCCUCCAAAACUAUCAGUCUAGAGUUCGAGAGAGGUGAGUGGAAUUCCGAGUGUAGAGGUGAAAUUCGUAGAUAUUCGGAGGAACACCAGU